GACGAACGCUGGCGGCGUGCUUAACACAUGCAAGUCGAACGAUGAACCUCGAAAUGAUUUCUUCGGAAAGAUUUUUGAGAGGAUUAGUGGCGAACGGGUGAGUAACGCGUGAGCAACCUGCCUUAGACAAGGGGAUAGCCUCGGGAAACCGUGAUUAAUACCCUAUGAGACUCCACUUACGAGUGUAAGAGAAGUUAAAGCUAUUGCGGUCUAAGAUGGGCUCGCGUCUGAUUAGCUAGUUGGUGAGAUAAAAGCCCACCAAGGCGACGAUCAGUAACCGGCUUGAGAGAGUGAACGGUCACAUUGGAACUGAGACACGGUCCAAACUCCUACGGGAGGCAGCAGUGGGGAAUAUUGCAAAAUGGGGGCAACCCUGAUGCAGCGACGCCGCGUGAGCGAUGAAGGAAUUCGUUUCGUAAAGCUCUGUCCUUGGAGAAGAUAAUGACGGUAACCAAGGAGGAAGCACCGGCUAAAUACGUG
This 480-nucleotide ribosomal RNA is filed under the name uncultured bacterium. RNAcentral describes it as "partial 16S ribosomal RNA". It matches the Rfam family "Bacterial small subunit ribosomal RNA", at positions 28 to 507 of the family's 1533-position model. The record is from RNAcentral.